This 88-nucleotide transfer RNA is filed under the name Deltaproteobacteria bacterium. Its description in RNAcentral is "tRNA-Leu". It matches the Rfam family "tRNA". Rfam says of the family: Transfer RNA (tRNA) molecules are approximately 80 nucleotides in length. Their secondary structure includes four short double-helical elements and three loops (D, anti-codon, and T loops). Further hydrogen bonds mediate the characteristic L-shaped molecular structure. tRNAs have two regions of fundamental functional importance: the anti-codon, which is responsible for specific mRNA codon recognition, and the 3' end, to which the tRNAs corresponding amino acid is attached (by aminoacyl-tRNA synthetases). tRNAs cope with the degeneracy of the genetic code in two manners: having more than one tRNA (with a specific anti-codon) for a particular amino acid; and 'wobble' base-pairing, i.e. permitting non-standard base-pairing at the 3rd anti-codon position. The record is from RNAcentral. Lineage: Bacteria; Pseudomonadati; Myxococcota; Myxococcia.
GCCUGGGUGGUGGAACAGGUAGACACAAGGGACUUAAAAUCCCUUGCACCAUGCGUGCGUGCGGGUUCGAUUCCCGCCCCAGGCACCA